GGCAGGUUGCCCGAGCGGCCAAAGGGAGCUGACUGUAAAUCAGCCGGCAACGCCUACAGAGGUUCGAAUCCUCUACCUGCCACCA
This 85-nucleotide transfer RNA is filed under the name uncultured Nocardioides sp. RNAcentral describes it as "tRNA-Tyr-GTA". It matches the Rfam family "tRNA". From Rfam's summary of the family: Transfer RNA (tRNA) molecules are approximately 80 nucleotides in length. Their secondary structure includes four short double-helical elements and three loops (D, anti-codon, and T loops). Lineage: Bacteria; Bacillati; Actinomycetota; Actinomycetes; Propionibacteriales; Nocardioidaceae. The record is from RNAcentral.